Chrysemys picta bellii (western painted turtle) is the source of this 857-nucleotide long non-coding RNA. RefSeq lists it as uncharacterized. The record is from RefSeq and is a predicted model, not a curated record. NCBI's taxonomy places the organism in Eukaryota, Metazoa, Chordata, Testudines, Emydidae.
AAGCAGACGACUUCUCAAAAAUUGUAGACCAGUGUUAUCGAAGGAGCGUGAGGCUGGGGAAGCCACCUCUGCUGAAACUUUAUCCAUAGGCGCAUCUUCCACACCGGGACAGAGACUUUCCCAGAUUAAAAGGCGGUGUGGCAGAGCUCCUACCUUGUCUCACUGGGUCCCACACUUCCAGGCUGAUUAUGCUAGACUCAGACACCUUCCACGUAGCCCUUUUUUCUCAAGGGGCAAGGGUCACAGCCUACUGAGCCAUUUUCAUCAUAAGCCAGCAACAGAGGCAUCUGGCCUUGCCCUGUCACAGCAGAAAAAGAAGACUCAGGAGGAUAUGUUCAAUGAGCUAAUGUGUGCCCCCAAGAAUGACAAGAUGGAGCUCAGCACAUGGAGGAUUGCACUGUUGGAGAGCCUGCAUAAUGACCGUGAGGACACGAGAGCAUGCAGGGAACAUAAGUCAGACAAGCAAGAUGAGAUGGUGUGGAUUAUGAUGAAGCAAACAGACAUAUUGAGGCAUCUGGUUGAGGUUCAAGAAAGGCAUCUGGACUUUAGAGUCCCACUGCAGCCUAUGCUGAACCUGCUGUCAUCGUCGCCAAGUUCCACAUCCUCCUCUCCCAGACUUCCUAGGAUGGGGGGGGGGGGGGAGGAGAGAGUCCGGUAUCCCUUGCACUCAACUCCAGGGGAGGGUACAAGGACCAGAAGGCACCCAUUCCCAUUCCCUUUGAUGUUAUUGCAGUGCAAUUGUAAGCAAGCUGUCCUUGUUCCCCUCUCCCCCAGUGUUAUCAGCCCUUUAGCCCCAGGUUAUCUUACUUUUCUUUGCUGUCUCUCAGUGUUUGUGAGCAUAAUAAAAAUUGAUGGAU